UUGUGCCUUGAUUUGAUGAUU
This 21-nucleotide non-coding RNA is filed under the name Caenorhabditis elegans. Lineage: Eukaryota; Metazoa; Nematoda; Chromadorea; Rhabditida; Rhabditidae. The record is from RNAcentral.